UACGUAGGGUGCGAGCGUUAAUCGGAAUUACUGGGCGUAAAGCGUGCGCAGGCGGCGCGUUAAGACAGGUGUGAAAGCCCCGAGCUUAACUUGGGAAUUGCGCUUGUGACUGGCGUGCUGGAGUGUGGCAGAGGGAGGUGGAAUUCCGACGUGUAGCAGUGAAAUGCGUAGAGAUGUGGAGGAAUACCGAUGGCGAAGGCAGCCCCCUGGGAUAACACUGACGCUCAUGCACGAAAGCGUGGGGAGCAAACAGG
This 254-nucleotide ribosomal RNA is filed under the name uncultured bacterium. RNAcentral's name for it is "partial 16S ribosomal RNA". It matches the Rfam family "Bacterial small subunit ribosomal RNA", at positions 524 to 776 of the family's 1533-position model. The record is from RNAcentral.